AGUGAACGCUGGCGGUAGGCCUAACACAUGCAAGUCGAACGGCAGCACAGUAAGAGCUUGCUCUUACGGGUGGCGAGUGGCGGACGGGUGAGGAAUACAUCGGAAUCUACUUUUUCGUGGGGGAUAACGUAGGGAAACUUACGCUAAUACCGCAUACGACCUACGGGUGAAAGCAGGGGAUCUUCGGACCUUGCGCGAUUGAAUGAGCCGAUGUCGGAUUAGCUAGUUGGCGGGGUAAAGGCCCACCAAGGCGACGAUCCGUAGCUGGUCUGAGAGGAUGAUCAGCGACACUGGAAGUGAGACACGGUCCAGGCUCCUACGGGAGGGAGCAGAGGGGAAUAUUAGACAAUGGGCGCAAGCCUGAUCCAGCCAUACCGCGUGGGUGAAAGAGGCCUUCGGGUUGUAAAGCCCUUUUGUUGGGAAAGAAAAGCAGCAGCUUAAUACCCCGCUGUUCUGACGGUACCCAAAGAAUAAGCACCGGCUAACUUCGUG
This 492-nucleotide ribosomal RNA is filed under the name uncultured bacterium. Its description in RNAcentral is "partial 16S ribosomal RNA". It matches the Rfam family "Bacterial small subunit ribosomal RNA", at positions 29 to 507 of the family's 1533-position model. The record is from RNAcentral.